UUCGAGCGUCUCUAUCAGCCUACACGUUUUGCGUGGUAUUGGGGUUGCGUUUUUGCAGCUCUAAAUCUCAAGUGGGAUAGCCUUGAAGUCUCCACUGAAGUAAAAUACCGGUACGAGCUUCGGGGAGUUUCGCCAAUAAUGGUGCAAGCCGAUUUAACAAGGUUGACCUCGGAUCAAGUAGGGAUACCCGCUGAACUUAA
Molecule: unclassified non-coding RNA, 200 nt
Filed under: soil metagenome
Description: partial contains internal transcribed spacer 2 and large subunit ribosomal RNA
Source: RNAcentral